UACGUAGGGGGCGAGCGUUGUCCGGAGUUACUGUGCGUAAAGCGCACGCAGGCGGUCUGUGAAGUUUGGAGUGACAGUUGGUGGCUCAACCACCAAAGUGCUUUGAAAACUGAUAGACUUGAGGGCUUCAGAGGGACACGGAAUUCCGGGUGGAGUGGUGAAAUGCGUAGAGAUCCGGAGGAACACCAAAGGCGAAGGCAGUGUCCUGGGGAGUACCUGACGCUCAGGUGCGAAAGCCAGGGGAGCGAACGGG
This 253-nucleotide ribosomal RNA is filed under the name uncultured bacterium. RNAcentral describes it as "partial 16S ribosomal RNA". It matches the Rfam family "Bacterial small subunit ribosomal RNA", at positions 524 to 776 of the family's 1533-position model. The record is from RNAcentral.